GGGGGCGUCACGGUUUCGACGGGAUAACGUGUCGACUUGAGAGCAUGUCGAGUUUUGUUUUGGGAACUCGUUAAAGAACUAAAGCAAAAACAAUAAGUGCAGGACAAUAUUCUGCAGCUCAAGCUUAAUUAACUCAGUUAUUUAGCUUGACUCCUGUUAGUGCGGCGUGGCUAUCAGCUAAUCUAACUUGUAUUAAUCAGAUAGAAUUUUCUAGCAAGAUUUUUUGGUUUAGUAGCUAGAUCAUAUCACUAAACUGGCUGUGAUUUAAUUUUUUGCCUUUGAGAUGAAUCAGUAGUAUAUUCGAAGGCUAAACAUGUAGUGCUUAGUUUACAUAUUGUUUCGGACAUGGGUUCAAUUCCCAUCGCCUCCACCA
Molecule: transfer-messenger RNA, 373 nt
Filed under: Candidatus Babelota bacterium
Lineage: Bacteria
Also listed under: 1 other name
Rfam family: transfer-messenger RNA
About the family: Bacterial tmRNA, also known as 10Sa RNA or SsrA, is named for its dual tRNA and mRNA-like properties. Its role is to liberate the mRNA from a stalled ribosome.
Source: RNAcentral